CAGUGAGGAGUUUCUGCUGCACUGGACAGCCUUAAGCUGACUGGUGGUAAAAGCUCUAGUUAGGUGUAGCUGGGGCAGUAGACAUUUUUAGAAGACAAUAAUACCCAUACUUUAAUUUAUUAUAAAAGGAGUGUUUACUAUCAUGCCAGUUAGGAUUUACAUUGAAGGCAUCACCUGUUGUUUGUUUAUUACUUACAAUCCAAUGAAUUACUAUCAUCGUGUUCUCCUUGUGUAGAUUGUGUGGAUCUUUUCUAGCUUACUACGUGAUGUUCCUGUUGAUCCUAUCAUCUGGUCUUGCAGGUUAAGGAUUCAGGCUGCGGUGUUCUCCCACAAGAUAUACCAAUUCUCUUUACCAAAUUUGCACAGCCUCGAAGUGGAAAUAGCAGUGGUGCGGGGCUUGGACUUGCCAUUUGUAGAAGGUUUGUAAAUUUGAUAGGAGGCCACAUAUGGAUUGAGAGUGAGGGCCUUGACAAAGGCUGCACAGUAACAUUCCUUGUCAAACUUGGGAUCUGCAGCAAUCCCGAUGAUUCAGCUAUCCAUCACGCUUCAUUGCAAGUUAGAGCAUAUCAUGGAAGUGCAGAUCUGAGUGGACAGAAACCUAUAUUAAGAGAUCACGGUCAUCGAGCUAUCUCAUCCAAUCCCAAUGCACGAUACCAAAGAAACCUUUAGAGUUGCAAUGAGAGAAAUACGACUUACACUAUUUUCUUAUUUUCAUAUCAUUUGAAGUGAUGAUUGCUGAUUAAAGUGAAUUAAUUGGUUGCUGAUGCAGCAACAAUUGGAAUGAUAGAAUUGUUGUACGGUUUCGAGGCUGUAACCCAUCUUCCUCAGUUUGUAAACGAUAAAAAAUUGCGUGGUUGUUUCGGAA
Molecule: long non-coding RNA, 865 nt
Organism: Gossypium raimondii (Peruvian cotton)
Lineage: Eukaryota; Viridiplantae; Streptophyta; Magnoliopsida; Malvales; Malvaceae
Exons: 2
Source: RefSeq, a predicted model, not a curated record